UGGGGAAUAUUGGACAAUGGGCGCAAGCCUGAUCCAGCCAUGCCGCGUGGAUGAUGAAGGCCUUCGGGUUGUAAAGUCCUUUCGCACGUGACGAUGAUGACGGUAACGUGAGAAGAAGCCCCGGCUAACUUCGUGCCAGCAGCCGCGGUAAUACGAAGGGGGCGAGCGUUGUUCGGAAUUACUGGGCGUAAAGGGCGCGUAGGCGGCCGGAUAAGUUAGGCGUGAAAGCCCUGGGCUCAACCUGGGAAUUGCGCUUGAUACUGUUUGGCUAGAGUUCAGGAGAGGUUAGUGGAAUACCCAGUGGAGAGGUGAAAUUCGUAGAGAUUGGGUAGAACACCGGUGGCGAAGGCGACUGACUGGCCUGAUUACUGACGCUGAGGCGCGAAAGCGUGGGGAGCAA
Molecule: ribosomal RNA, 400 nt
Filed under: uncultured bacterium
Lineage: Bacteria
Description: bacterial SSU rRNA
Rfam family: Bacterial small subunit ribosomal RNA
Source: RNAcentral